Molecule: small RNA, 550 nt
Filed under: Diaporthe sp. M14
Lineage: Eukaryota; Fungi; Ascomycota; Sordariomycetes; Diaporthales; Diaporthaceae
Description: eukaryotic LSU rRNA
Rfam family: 5.8S ribosomal RNA (bases 188-341)
Source: RNAcentral
CGGAGGGAUAUUGCUGGAACGCGCCCCAGGCGCACCCAGAAACCCUUUGUGAACUUAUACCUUACUGUUGCCUCGGCGCAUGCCGGCCCCCCCGGGGGCCCCUCGGAGACGAGGAGCAGGCACGCCGGCGGCCAAGUUAACUCUUGUUUUUACACUGAAACUCUGAGAAAAAACACAAAUGAAUCAAAACUUUCAACAACGGAUCUCUUGGUUCUGGCAUCGAUGAAGAACGCAGCGAAAUGCGAUAAGUAAUGUGAAUUGCAGAAUUCAGUGAAUCAUCGAAUCUUUGAACGCACAUUGCGCCCUCUGGUAUUCCGGAGGGCAUGCCUGUUCGAGCGUCAUUUCAACCCUCAAGCAUUGCUUGGUGUUGGGGCACUGCUUCUCUACCGAAAAGCAGGCCCUGAAAUCUAGUGGCGAGCUCGCCAGGACCCCGAGCGCAGUAGUUAAACCCUCGCUCUGGAAGGCCCUGGCGGUGCCCUGCCGUUAAACCCCCAACUCUUGAAAAUUUGACCUCGGAUCAGGUAGGAAUACCCGCUGAACUUAAGCUUAA